GCACUGCUGAGGAGUCCGAGAAUAGAACGAAACGGUCGUCCAGUGC
Non-coding RNA from Schistosoma mattheei, 46 nucleotides. NCBI's taxonomy places the organism in Eukaryota, Metazoa, Platyhelminthes, Trematoda, Strigeidida, Schistosomatidae. The record is from Rfam.